AAAUUCUCAUGCUCUCUUUUUUCUUUGUUUGAAAGAGAAGGAGAGAAUGGACCAUGGAAGUUGCUUGUUCCUUAGCUCUUCUUAAAUGCAUUAGCAGAAGUUUUAUGACUAACUGUUUCUUUUGAUAUGAUAAAACAUUGUCUAUAUCUUUGAAAACAUUGGUCCCCAAUCUGCUUUCAAACCGUCUCUCAGACAGAGACAAGAGACACUCAGUCGAACAAA
This 222-nucleotide unclassified non-coding RNA is filed under the name uncultured Agaricomycetes. RNAcentral's name for it is "sequence contains ITS2". The record is from RNAcentral. Lineage: Eukaryota; Fungi; Basidiomycota; Agaricomycetes.